Chelonia mydas (Green sea turtle) is the source of this 4327-nucleotide long non-coding RNA. RefSeq lists it as uncharacterized. The record is from RefSeq and is a predicted model, not a curated record. Lineage: Eukaryota; Metazoa; Chordata; Testudines; Cheloniidae. The transcript has 5 exons.
GGUCCGCACGCUCGGCCCGAAUGGAGGCACAGGGUGGGCCAAGACGGGGAUGAGGGCCUGGAAGGGACAGCUGGAGAGGAAGAGGGGACAGGAGCGAGCUGAGGACAGGGAGAGGCAUUGGAGAAUUGGAGAGAGCCGGACAGUUGCCGAGAACCGACGAGCGCCAGCUAGAAAGUUGGCAAGCGCCCAUAAGGAGGUUGCUCAGAGAUUGCAGUGCGUCAGACAGAAAGGCGCAGCGGGUGAGAGAGAAAGUUGUGGGGAGCUGACACAACUGAAAGGCACCACCAGAAACCAUGAGAACCAAAGGAAAACAGACAACAAAAGACAGAUGAGAGCAGAGCGCAAGGCAGAAGAAUAAAGGGUACACGCCACAAUCUCAAACCAGCUGAUCUCAUGGGCUUUCAAGAUUCAGCGUCAACAACAUGAAAGAUGCAACAGAUUCUCCAUAGCUUGGCACCGUUUAGCUUGAUAUUGGCUGUGUCUCCACGGGCUACCCUCUUGCUCAAACUCAAGGUAAUGCAGGAAUCACGGGCAGAGUGGGGUGGGGGCAAAUUCUCUGGGUUGUGUCAGACUGGAUGAUCUCUUCGGGCCUUUAAUGUCUAAUGAAAUGAAAUGUCUGCAUCCUGCAUAUACAUAAUCAAACUCUCUGAAAAGCCUGGCUGGUGAGUCUAUGUUAGCAAAGCAAAGCCUGGAGUUAAAAGAUCUGGGUUGUCUUAAAUCAUUUACUUUCUAGACAAUGUGCUUUAGACAAAUGUAAAUCACUGGGUGAAGUUCAGGGGUCGCCAGAUGAAAUUCUCUGGCUUGUGCUAUGCAAGGGGACAGACUAGAUCGCCUGCUUGAGUGGGACAAGGUUGAGCAAUUAGCCGCUGGCUUUAAUGACGCACAUUAGGACAGACAUUGAAAACCGGAAGAAUCGGACAAUUCAUUUGCUUUCCAAUGAAAAAAAGAAAAGAAAAGAAAGGAAGACUUAAAACAAAUAGAUUAAAAACUCAGAAGCAAACGCCCAGAAGUGACACUCGAAUGCUCCGCGACCAGGCUGGGGGUGGGGGGAAAAGCGCAUUCAGAGGGGAAAAAGCAACUCAGCAGGCAAAAGGAAAUGACCCGUCGUGCUCCUCAGUUAAUAUUUACACACAGCAGAAGGGAUGGAAGGAACGAAUGGCAAAAUAGACCCAGAGGAAAGGAAGGAGAGGAGUGGGGGGGGAGGUGACCCUGUUAACAGAAUGGGGCCUGGGAUCCUGCCGAAACUGACGCGCCGGCUGAAACUGACGGGGGCCGUGAACGCCUUUAACUUUAUGCGUGUGCUUAAAUCUGAAGCCGCUUAUUGUUCUCGUUACGUCCUUCGCUAAAGCAAGCCGUCCCAUGGACCCCGACAGGAUCGACGGGCGGCCCAGAUUUCCACAAAGCAGCCAAGGGCACAUUGAAUCUGAUCCAAAGGCAGAGACGCUCCGAAAGGAGGCGGUGGAUUGGCCCGAAACGUCAGCUCUCGGUUGGCCGCCUUGCUGGAAGACACGUGAGCUAGCCACAGGGUUUUAGGCUCCGGGCAGGGAUCGGACAAGACACUCAAAAGCCCAUCGACUCUUCCCGCUAGUCGGCAGGUCGGCAUCUCAAAGGCAGGUUUACGUGCCGCAGUGAGCAGGGAUGGAUUUGGGUGCACAGGACCGGAGAGGCGAUGCCAGCAAAUCCAUCCUGUUCGUGCUCUGACCAGCUGCUUGGCUGAAUCGGCACCAGCAGGCACAAAAGCAAAGCCUGCUGUGUGUUUAUAAAAUCUGGAUCCUCGACUCUAUUUCAUUCAGCUCAUUUCCACGGACUUCAAGGAAGUUAGAAGCCUACAUUGCGUUGACGAUCAGGGCCUAACAGGGCCACCACAGUCACCCCGCGCUGGCUGCUUUGUUAAAUCCAGGGCCGCACAUUGAUCUGGUGGCGUUCAUGGGCGUGCCUCACACGGAUGAGGUGACAGGGUCAGGAGGGCGUCUCCUGCAGGGGUCAGUCCUGGGUCCGGUAUUAGCCCAUCUGACAUUUUCGCGAAUGACUUGGCUAAUGGAGAGGAGAGUGCGCUAUUCAAAUUGCAGAUGACCCGAGCUGGGCGGGGUGGCAAGCCCUUUGGAGGACAGGAUUCGAACUCAAAACGCCCUUGACGGGUUGGAGAAUUGGUCUGAAGCCAACACCAGGAUGUUCAAUACAGACACAUUCAAAGUACUUCACUCAGGAAGGAAAAAAUUGAACGCACAGCUACAAAAUGGGGACUAAGUGGGUAGGGGGUCAGAUGGCUGGCAGGGCUCUGGGGGUGACAGUGGGUCACAAAUUGGAGCUGAAUCAGCCAUGUGAUGUAGUUCUGAAAAAAGGCUAAUGACGAAUGUCAUUCUGGGGUGUAUGAACUGGCAUGUCGUAGGUAAGACACGGACGGUGAUUGUCCCGCUCUGCUCAGGCCUCAGCUGGAGUCCUGUGACUUUAGGCCAGACGUGGACAAAUUGCAGAGAGUCCAGAGGAGAGCAACAAAAACGAGAAAAGGUUUGGAAAACCUGACCUACGAGGGAAGGUUAUGGGGCUUUGUGGAGUGGAAUCCUCCACCCUGCAUCCUCAGAGGGAAGGAUGCUGGUUUUUGGGGCGCUCCCAGGGUGCCUGGCUGAGCUGGGGAGGUAGAGAAGAGGGGUGAUAUGUUCUUCACUCCGUAGGUGGAAUUAUAUCUGCCCCGGAGAUACCCUGUCUAUGAGGAAUGGUAGCAGCUCCCCACCUUCUCAGCCAUAGGAGGUGAUUUAAUUUGUUGGGGUUUGUAUCAAGCUGGCCAUGAAGGGGUGUGUCUAUGUGUCUCUGUGUGUAUGUGUGAAAUGCUGCCCCCUGCUGGAGGAAAUCAGGCCUUGUGUGUGCGAGAAUGCACUUGUGUUUUGCACGCCCCCCCCGAAUCGGUUCACUCUAUGGAAUCGGUUCACUCUAUUUGCACCACCGCUCACUAUUGUACAUCCUCAGUUCACUUUGUGCGUGUGUAGGCGUGUGAUGUGUUGCUAUUUAUCCGGCCAAAACCAUCUCACAGCUCCCAUCUGGAACAAAACAUUGGUUCCUCUCAGCUUCAGAGAGAGGGAGGGGAAAACUCUCUCGAUCCAAAGCGGAGCAAAUAAUGGGGGUGGGGGGCGGGGGAAAUAGAGGAGCGAUAAAUCCAGACAGGAUCCCAGACCAUGCGGUGAUUGGAAAACUAAUUUAUUUUGGCUGUUCUUUUACAUGUUUCCAAGCAGCAAAAGGGGGGAAAAUGUGAGUGUUUUUUGUUUUUUUUUCCAGUUCAUUUGUCUUUUUAAAAAUGUUUUAAUGCCACACAGACUGAAGAGGGGCAGAGGAAGAGAACGGAAGUGGAAACAGGAAAGGGAGGAAGGUAAGAAAAAAUGAAGAUGUUAUUUGUUUUUUUGUUUCUUAGCAAACACACCACAGAUUACAGGAAAACAGCCCACACUGAAACAAUACACAGCUCAAUACCCAAAAAAGGGAAGUCGAGGGACAUCGACAACUCGCAGAACCCAAAACAAGAUAGCGUUAACAAAGGACAGAUCACCACACCGUCCCUCCAGGCUAAGCCCUGAUGUGAAGAGGAACCGGAGCUUUGGGUCACUGUGAACCCAAAGGUUGGUUAUGAGACAAAUCGACGCCCUCCUACCAGUGGUCAAGGAUGUCAGAAGAUCUGGGGAGAACCCAGGCCUCUGGGGGAUGGAGAGAUGGAUGGAAAGAUGGCAGAGAACAAGAAACUUAGAUUUGCUGACCCCCAAGGAGUGUAUGUAUAGGGAUCCAGGAAGCGAGCGAGAGAGAGAGAGAGAGAGAAGGAAGGAGAGAUGUUAAUGGCUAUUUUAAUACUUUCAUGGCUGGACUGGGCACCAGCAAGACAACGAGCAGGGGAGUGAAAUCUUCAGCUGGCGGAAAUCACAGGAGCUAUAUGGAUUCCCACCAGCUGGGGAUCUGGUCCUGUUGACCCCAAUGGAGCGACGGCCAAGUGACCCCAGCUGGGGAUCUGGCCCCAUUGACCCCACUGGAGCGACGGCCGAGUGACACCAGCUGUUCUUAUUUAUUUCCAUUGCACAAAAAGGUGAUUUAUUAAAUCACCAUCCAUCUAUAGAAUAAGGAAUAGAACCCAGGAGUCUGGGCUCCUAUUUCCCCUGGCUCCAUCCUGUUAGACUCCACUCCCCUCUUAGAACCAGGACUAGAACCCAGGGGUCCUCAGUUCCUUAGAUCUCUCCAUCUCCUGAUGGAAACAAAGGGUGUCCCUGACCCUCAUGAUCACCCGGAGUGUCAUUCCUCUCCCGCUCUUGGACUCAUCACAUCUGUUUAUUCACAUUGCCAGGUAGAAGUC